Molecule: ribosomal RNA, 253 nt
Filed under: uncultured bacterium
Lineage: Bacteria
Description: partial 16S ribosomal RNA
Rfam family: Bacterial small subunit ribosomal RNA
Source: RNAcentral
UACGUAGGGGGCGAGCGUUGUCCGGAAUCAUUGGGCGUAAAGAGCGUGUAGGCGGCCUGGAAGGUCUGGUGUGAAAGCCCGGGGCUCAACCCCGGAGGGUCACUGGAAACCAACAGUCUUGAAUCUGGAAGAGGAGAGUGGAAUUCCUGGUGUAGCGGUGGAAUGCGCAGAUAUCAGGAGGAACACCGAUGGCGAAGGCAGCUCUCUGGUACAGGAUUGACGCUGAGACGCGAAAGCGUGGGGAGCGAACAGG